UACGAAGGGGGCUAGCGUUGUUCGGAAUUACUGGGCGUAAAGGGCGCGUAGGCGGUGUGUCAAGUCAGGCGUGAAAGCCCCGGGCUCAACCUGGGAACAGCGCUUGAGACUGGCACGCUCGAGUUCGGGAGAGGAUGGUGGAAUUCCCAGUGUAGAGGUGAAAUUCGUAGAUAUUGGGAAGAACACCGAUGGCGAAGGCAGCCAUCUGGACCGACACUGACGCUGAGGCACGAAAGCGUGGGGAGCAAACAGG
Molecule: ribosomal RNA, 253 nt
Filed under: uncultured bacterium
Lineage: Bacteria
Description: partial 16S ribosomal RNA
Rfam family: Bacterial small subunit ribosomal RNA
Source: RNAcentral